This 2901-nucleotide ribosomal RNA is filed under the name Triticum aestivum (bread wheat). RNAcentral's name for it is "partial small subunit ribosomal RNA". The record is from RNAcentral. Lineage: Eukaryota; Viridiplantae; Streptophyta; Magnoliopsida; Poales; Poaceae.
AUGGGUGAUGUCAAGGAGGAGAUGGACAGAGGCAGAUCCUACUCCGACAAUGUCGAAGCUGCAGAUCCCACUCCCACCACCGUCGCCAAAACUGACGGCCGCGAUAUCAAGCUGCUACUUGAAGCUGCAGGCGACGACAGGGCCGCGAUCGUGCCAGCAGGCAACAGAGGCGGGGUCAACGCCGCGCCAGGGGAGGCUGCGCCAGUAGGGGCCGGCCCAGCCGGCGGCCCAACAUGCGGCCCAGCAUGCAUGGCGGGGGACCGGGGCGACGUGGACGACGUCGACGCGGCUCCAGGCGACGAGGGCGUCGAACCGGAGGAGGGAGCCGUGGAUGGCCCCGAUCCGGAGGAGGGUGUCGCGGGCGGGGGUGCCAGAGCACCCAAGGCCAGCAGCGGGCGGCGGCGCGGAGGAGAACCUGUCGCGGGAGGGGAAGACGGUGCCACCUGUUCCUGGGGCGCCGUACGCGCCGUAGGAGGGCGCGACAGGAGGGGCGCCGUGCGCACCGAGAGGUGCAUAUGCACAACAAACAACACAGGCUAUGGUAAUAUGGACGAGAUGGACGGAGGCAAACCAGCCGACCAAUUAGCCAUGGAGGCCGAGGAGAAGCAGCAUAUGAUCGAGCAGACGAAAUACGACGACGAAAGUGACUUCGGCUACGACGUAGAUGUCGAUGAGUGGCGUGCUACCACGUUCGAUUCAGACAAGCUGUUACUUUUACCUGCAGACCCCGCUCCCACCAACAUGGGUUAUGGUAAUGUCGAUGAGAUGGACAGAGGCAAAUCGGCUGAGCAAGUGGCCAUGGAGGCCGAGGAGAUGGCCCACGAGGAGAUGCGGGAGGUCGAUGCGGAUCGUGCGUGCCUGUCGCUAAUGACCAGUCGGCAGGAACUGAAGAGCCUAUUGCAUGGCAUUCGGGGGCCCCUCCACAUUGGGGGCCCGGAGCGGCCGCCCCCCCUGCCCCCCCUCAGGGCCGGCCCUGGGAGAGUGAUUUCGCCAUGUACGCCAAAACCCGGGACAGGAGAUGGGCUCACGAGAGGGGCGUUAGCUCUCGUUUUUAGGGGGCUGCACAACCCACAGGUGCUAGAAGCACUAGCUGUUCGUGAGGCAUUAGCACUUUCAGAAGAUCUCUAUAUCAACCAUUUGCUGGUGGCCUCCGAUUGCAAGGUGGUGGUAGAUGCAAUCAGGCAGGGAAGCUCAGCAGAUUUUGAAGCCAUUGUCGAAGAAAUCAAGGCUAGAGCAACACACUUUAUUUCAUCGACGCUGAGCUCCACGCAGUUCAUACACAUGCUACCUAGUACCAAUUCCUACGGUACGGGAUUCCCGCCCACCCUGCAGAUCCUCUCCAUCAAACUCGUGGAAAUAAAAGGUGGAUUGGAAUGGCCCUUGCCCGUGUGUGGCGUGGUUGCUGCCCGAGACACCGUGGAUCACAACCGUAACCUUCUGUUUGCUCGUGAUUGGAGCGAGUGCCAGAGAGUUGAGAAAGACGAAAAGGAAGCGAUGCGCCACCGCCACGCCGGCUCCUACCCCGUGCCGCCAAGUCCCCAGCGCUUGCCUCGCCGUGCAUAUUCCCCGACGUGCUGCCAAGACCCCGGCUCCCAGCCGCCUCUUGUCCUAAUUCCUCUCCUCCGGCGAGGAUCCAUUUCUUCCGCCACCGUCGCCGUCGCGGUCGCCGUGCUCAUCGACGAACUCACAGUUUUAAUCCAUCGAGUCCUCCAUCCAGAAAAAUUCCUGUCCUUCCCGGGUGGGCGUGGCGGCUGGGCGGCAAUCGCCGGGUCAGAGCUCUCUCCGGUUUCCGAACGAUCGCUGGUCUGCCUCGGCUCCGGCCUCACACCACCCAUCGUCCAACAAAAGAAAAAUACACUCAGCCAUGAAACCAACGAGAACAAGCGAGAGAAGGGGGAGAGGGGAGGAUCGGAGAGGAUCUGGGUCGGGAUCCCAGGCAUGCCGAUGGCAAGGAGAUCUUGGAGGCGUGGCGGCGGUGGGCCGGGGGUGGUGGUCACGAUGCCGAUGGAGCUGGCGGCGGCGGAAGGGUUAGACAACGUCAUCAUCAUCAACCGCCCGGACCAGGCCGGCAUCGGCUGCGACCUCUACCGCAACAUCUCGAGUUCGACCUUCGUAUCUCCCGCCGCGCAGCAGUUCAAUCAUAAGCACAAACAAAAACCGGCAAGAUGUUGUAACCUGUUCUACAGGAAUCUCUACGCAUGUGGUCCUGUUGCUGAUGGACUCCUCUGGCUCUGGCCGUCGGUUCAGUUGCCUUACAUCUCUCUCGCACCUUGGUUCGCUUUCGCCGGGAGAACCGACUCGGCAGUCGGCUCUCCUUUCGUCCACAGAAGAACAACCUGGAUGUGCCAUUAUUUCUGUAUCGAGCAGUUCACAUGGAAUUAUGCUUAUACAUCAUAUAUCUUUGUUCCAACUAUUCCAGUAUCAUGUGGUGAUGGAUUGAAUGUAGUACGGUACAAUGAACAGCGCUACCACGGCAGAAAGGGUGCCAUUUGCUUUGAGAACUGCCUUUGCACCUUAGAAUUGAGUUUGGAGGUAAUUCGGCAAACGGUCCAGGCCACUUUCCUGGGUAUCCGUCUCAAAGGGGGGCCAUGGCCUAACAAAUAUGGAGGUAGAGUUGUUUGCUUCGCACCAUCAGCGUCAGUCGAGAUCAUUGAUGGUCAAGUCACUACCAUUCAUGAUGACCAACCUGGAGAAGUGGUGCUGGUUGAUUCUCGCCGUAGAGCAAUGCCUAUGGCUUCGGCUGGUUACCUUCUCAUCUCAAGGCAGGUUGUUUCUGUGGAAAUUCAAGGCAGCCUGAAAGUUGUCUUGCAGACUUACUCUGCAUCUGGUGAUAUCGAUUCAGAAACUCAGGUGUGCUUCGCGCCCGAAUAUUUCAACCCUCGUGUGACGACAUCUAUGUAA